Molecule: ribosomal RNA, 709 nt
Filed under: uncultured bacterium
Lineage: Bacteria
Description: bacterial SSU rRNA
Rfam family: Bacterial small subunit ribosomal RNA
Source: RNAcentral
AGUCGACGGUGAAGAGGAGCUUGCUCCUUGGAUCAGUGGCGAACGGGUGAGUAACACGUGAGCAAUCUGCCCUUGACUCUGGGAUAACUGCGGGAAACUGUAGCUAAUACCGGAUAUUACCUUGGAAGGCAUCUUCUGGGGUGGAAAGAAUUUUGGUCAAGGAUGAGCUCGCGGCCUAUCAGCUAGUUGGUGAGGUAAUGGCUCACCAAGGCGACGACGGGUAGCCGGCCUGAGAGGGUGACCGGCCACACUGGGACUGAGACACGGCCCAGACUCCUACGGGAGGCAGCAGUGGGGAAUAUUGCACAAUGGGCGCAAGCCUGAUGCAGCAACGCCGCGUGAGGGACGACGGCCUUCGGGUUGUAAACCUCUUUUAGUAGGGAAGAAGCGACUGGGUUUUCCUGGAAGUGACGGUACCUGCAGAAAAAGCACCGGCUAACUACGUGCCAGCAGCCGCGGUAAUACGUAGGGUGCAAGCGUUAUCCGGAAUUAUUGGGCGUAAAGAGCUCGUAGGCGGUUUGUCGCGUCUGCUGUGAAAACUGGGGGCUCAACCCCCAGCCUGCAGUGGGUACGGGCAGACUAGAGUGCGGUAGGGGAGAUUGGAAUUCCUGGUGUAGCGGUGGAAUGCGCAGAUAUCAGGAGGAACACCAAUGGCGAAGGCAGAUCUCUGGGCCGUAACUGACGCUGAGGAGCGAAAGCAUGGGGAGCG